GGGAAAGUAGCUCAGCCUGGGAGAGCACGUGACUGAAGAUCACGGUGUCCGGGGUUCAAAUCCCCGCUUUCCCA
RNAcentral lists this transfer RNA (74 nucleotides) under Candidatus Pacearchaeota archaeon. RNAcentral describes it as "tRNA-Phe". It matches the Rfam family "tRNA". Rfam says of the family: Transfer RNA (tRNA) molecules are approximately 80 nucleotides in length. Their secondary structure includes four short double-helical elements and three loops (D, anti-codon, and T loops). Further hydrogen bonds mediate the characteristic L-shaped molecular structure. tRNAs have two regions of fundamental functional importance: the anti-codon, which is responsible for specific mRNA codon recognition, and the 3' end, to which the tRNAs corresponding amino acid is attached (by aminoacyl-tRNA synthetases). tRNAs cope with the degeneracy of the genetic code in two manners: having more than one tRNA (with a specific anti-codon) for a particular amino acid; and 'wobble' base-pairing, i.e. permitting non-standard base-pairing at the 3rd anti-codon position. The record is from RNAcentral. Lineage: Archaea; Nanobdellati.